GUCUUGUGGUGGAAACAGAUAUGUUACAGGUCUGAUGGUGCUUGUUGGGGCGAAUUUGGGACUGACGUUGGUGGCGUCUGUGCUUUGUGUGUGCUUUGCUCCUACGGCGGCUGGACCUGGAAUCCCUGAGAUCAAAGCUUAUCUUAAUGGUGUAGAUACUCCCAACAUGUUUGGUGCUACUACUAUGAUCGUUAAGGUUUGUUUCUGAAUUUGGAGAUUUGUAAUGAUUAGUAUGUAUGAAUUUGAAUUUUGACUCACGGUUUAGCGGGGUUUGAUAGAUUGUUGGAAGCAUUGGAGCGGUUGCAGCUGGACUUGAUCUAGGUAAAGAGGGUC
Molecule: long non-coding RNA, 333 nt
Filed under: Arabidopsis thaliana (thale cress)
Lineage: Eukaryota; Viridiplantae; Streptophyta; Magnoliopsida; Brassicales; Brassicaceae
Description: long non-coding RNA (ATHA_LNC000126)
Source: RNAcentral